This 421-nucleotide ribosomal RNA is filed under the name uncultured bacterium. Its description in RNAcentral is "bacterial SSU rRNA". It matches the Rfam family "Bacterial small subunit ribosomal RNA", at positions 355 to 774 of the family's 1533-position model. The record is from RNAcentral.
UAAGGAAUAUUGGUCAAUGGACGAAAGUCUGAACCAGCCAUGCCGCGUGGAGGAUGAAGGCCCUCUGGGUUGUAACUUCUUUUAUAGGGGACGAAAAAGGGUCUUUCUAGAUCAACUGACGGUACCCUAGGAAUAAGCACCGGCUAACUCCGUGCCAGCAGCCGCGGUAAUACGGAGGGUGCAAGCGUUAUCCGGAUUCACUGGGUUUAAAGGGUGCGUAGGUGGGUUAGUAAGUCAGUGGUGAAAUCUUCGAGCUUAACUCGGAAACUGCCAUUGAUACUAUUAGUCUUGAAUAUUGUGGAGGUUAGCAGAAUAUGUCAUGUAGCGGUGAAAUGCUUAGAUAUGACAUAGAACACCAAUUGCGAAGGCAGCUGGCUACACAUAUAUUGACACUGAGGCACGAAAGCGUGGAGAUCAAACA